CAAGGUAAGCGGAUAGCCGCCCCGACAUCACGUCGGGGAGGAAAGUCCGGACUUCCCCCGAGUAAUCGGGGUCGUGGCAGUGGGUAACGCCCACCGGGAGUAAUUCCAGGGAAAGUGCCGCAGAGACAAUACUAGCCAUUGCUUUGCAAUGGUGAAAGGUGAAAAGUUGCUUGGUGUUAUUUGUUCUCGAGAUAAAUAGCUACAAGCUUCGCCCCCGAGUAAUCGGGAUGACGUGGUAAACCCUGCCUGAAGCAAGAACAAAGCCAGCGCUUU
Molecule: RNase P RNA, 273 nt
Filed under: Candidatus Falkowiibacteriota bacterium
Lineage: Bacteria; Candidatus Falkowiibacteriota
Description: partial RNase P RNA component class A
Rfam family: Bacterial RNase P class A
About the family: Ribonuclease P (RNase P) is a ubiquitous endoribonuclease, found in archaea, bacteria and eukarya as well as chloroplasts and mitochondria. Its best characterised activity is the generation of mature 5'-ends of tRNAs by cleaving the 5'-leader elements of precursor-tRNAs.
Source: RNAcentral